CAGGACGCCCCGAGCCCUCCAACCAAACGCCCGGGCCGCGCUGUACAGCUCCAUCCGGAUCCCCUUGUCCCGUUUCGGCAGGGUAUAUUUUUGCCUGUCCCUAGUUUUCCUCGUCAUAUAGGCAUUUUGAUCAUGAUACGUCUCCAACGUAUCUAUAACGUAUCUAUAAUUUUUAUCAGUUACCUACUUGAGGACGAGCAGAAAUCACAAAAAAGGAAGCUGUUUGGCAAGUACAGCACUGGACUCUUAACACAAAUCAUUUUCAAGCUGUGCUAGGCAUACCCAAAUAAGUAAGUGUGUCAAUGUCAUCUAAUAUUUUGACGCAGAUGCUUUGCAGCAUUUCGUUGAGAACUAUGUUGUCAUUUCUCGAGGCAUUUGUCACUAGGCAGUGUGAAAUGACUCCUGAGUCCUUUUCCUCAAUGGAUGAAUCAUAUCUCUAUUUAUUUUAUCUAAAAAAGACUUAAAAUUUCGUAUUUCACCAACUAACAUUUCAC
Molecule: long non-coding RNA, 494 nt
Filed under: Triticum aestivum (bread wheat)
Lineage: Eukaryota; Viridiplantae; Streptophyta; Magnoliopsida; Poales; Poaceae
Description: long non-coding RNA (TAES_LNC013304)
Source: RNAcentral